CCUACGGGAGGCAGCAGUAGGGAAUCUUUCACAAUGGGCGAAAGCCUGAUGGAGCAACGCCGCGUGCAGGAUGAAUGCCUUCGGGUUGUAAACUGCUUUUAUAAGCGAGAAAUAUGAUGGUAACUUAUGAAUAAGGAUCGGCUAACUACGUGCCAGCAGCCGCGGUCAUACGUAGGAUCCGAGCAUUAUCCGGAGUGACUGGGUGUAAAGAGUUGCGUAGGUGGCAUAAUAAGUAGCUAGUGAAAUCUGGUGGCUCAACCAUUCAGACUAUUAGCUAAACUGUUAAGCUCGAGACCGUUAGGGGUAACUGGAAUUUCUAGUGUAGGAGUGAAAUCCGUAGAUAUUAGAAGGAACACCAAUAGCGUAGGCAGGUUGCUGGGACGGGUCUGACACUAAGGCACGAAAGCGUAGGGAGCAAACGGGAUUAGAUACCCGUGUAGUC
This 442-nucleotide ribosomal RNA is filed under the name uncultured bacterium. RNAcentral describes it as "partial 16S ribosomal RNA". It matches the Rfam family "Bacterial small subunit ribosomal RNA", at positions 338 to 795 of the family's 1533-position model. The record is from RNAcentral.